UGGGGAAUAUUGGACAAUGGGCGAAAGCCUGAUCCAGCCAUGCCGCGUGUGUGAAGAAGGUCUUCGGAUUGUAAAGCACUUUAAGUUGGGAGGAAGGGCAUUAACCUAAUACGUUAGUGUUUUGACGUUACCGACAGAAUAAGCACCGGCUAACUCUGUGCCAGCAGCCGCGGUAAUACAGAGGGGGCAAGAGUUAAUCGGAAUUACUGGGCGUAAAGCGCGCGUAGGUGGUUUGUUAAGUUGGAUGUGAAAUCCCCGGGCUCAACCUGGGAACUGCAUUCAAAACUGACUGACUAGAGUAUGGUAGAGGGUGGUGGAAUUUCCUGUGUAGCGGUGAAAUGCGUAGAUAUAGGAAGGAACACCAGUGGCGAAGGCGACCACCUGGACUAAUACUGACACUGAGGUGCGAAAGCGUGGGGAGCAAACA
This 427-nucleotide ribosomal RNA is filed under the name uncultured bacterium. RNAcentral's name for it is "partial 16S ribosomal RNA". It matches the Rfam family "Bacterial small subunit ribosomal RNA", at positions 355 to 774 of the family's 1533-position model. The record is from RNAcentral.